ACCCGCUGAACUUAAGCAUAUCAAUAAGCGGAGGAAAAGAAACUAACAAGGAUUCCCCUAGUAACUGCGAGUGAAGCGGGAAAAGCUCAAAUUUAAAAUCUGGUGGUCUUUGGCCAUCCGAGUUGUAAUCUAGAGAAGUGUUAUCCGCGCUGGACCGUGUACAAGUCCCCUGGAAUGGGGCGUCAUAGAGGGUGAGAAUCCCGUCUUUGACACGGACUACCAGGGCUUUGUGAUGCACUCUCAAAGAGUCGAGUUGUUUGGGAAUGCAGCUCAAAAUGGGUGGUAAAUUCCAUCUAAAGCUAAAUAUUGGCGAGAGACCGAUAGCGAACAAGUACCGUGAGGGAAAGAUGAAAAGAAGUUUGGGAAGAGAGUUAAACAGUACGUGAAAUGGUUGAAAGGGAAACGCUUGAAGU
This 413-nucleotide ribosomal RNA is filed under the name uncultured fungus. Its description in RNAcentral is "eukaryotic LSU rRNA". It matches the Rfam family "Eukaryotic large subunit ribosomal RNA", at positions 23 to 429 of the family's 3401-position model. The record is from RNAcentral. Lineage: Eukaryota; Fungi.